AAGACGAACGCUGGCGGCGUGCUUAACACAUGCAAGUCGAGCGGUAAGGCCUUUCGGGGUACACGAGCGGCGAACGGGUGAGUAACACGUGGGUGAUCUGCCCUGCACUUCGGGAUAAGCCUGGGAAACUGGGUCUAAUACCGGAUAUGACCUCCUAUCGCAUGGUGGGUGGUGGAAAGAUUUAUCGGUGCAGGAUGGGCCCGCGGCCUAUCAGCUUGUUGGUGGGGUAAUGGCCUACCAAGGCGACGACGGGUAGCCGACCUGGAGAGGGUGACCGGCCACGACUGGGAACUGAGACACGGCCCAGACUCCGUACGGGAGGCAGCGAGUGGGAAUAUGCACAAUGGGACAAGCCUGAUGCAGCGACGCCGCGUGAGGAUGACGGCUUCGGUUGUAACCUCUUUCAGCAGGACGAAGCGACAAGUGACGGUACCUGCGAAGAACGAGACCGAACCGGCUAAACGUACGUCG
This 471-nucleotide ribosomal RNA is filed under the name uncultured soil bacterium. RNAcentral's name for it is "bacterial SSU rRNA". It matches the Rfam family "Bacterial small subunit ribosomal RNA", at positions 26 to 510 of the family's 1533-position model. The record is from RNAcentral.